This 638-nucleotide ribosomal RNA is filed under the name Pseudomonas parafulva. RNAcentral's name for it is "bacterial SSU rRNA". It matches the Rfam family "Bacterial small subunit ribosomal RNA", at positions 115 to 749 of the family's 1533-position model. The record is from RNAcentral. Lineage: Bacteria; Pseudomonadati; Pseudomonadota; Gammaproteobacteria; Pseudomonadales; Pseudomonadaceae.
GGCUAGGAAUCUGCCUGGUAGUGGGGGACAACGUUUCGAAAGGAACGCUAAUACCGCAUACGUCCUACGGGAGAAAGCAGGGGACCUUCGGGCCUUGCGCUAUCAGAUGAGCCUAGGUCGGAUUAGCUUGUUGGUGAGGUAAUGGCUCACCAAGGCGACGAUCCGUAACUGGUCUGAGAGGAUGAUCAGUCACACUGGAACUGAGACACGGUCCAGACUCCUACGGGAGGCAGCAGUGGGGAAUAUUGGACAAUGGGCGAAAGCCUGAUCCAGCCAUGCCGCGUGUGUGAAGAAGGUCUUCGGAUUGUAAAGCACUUUAAGUUGGGAGGAAGGGUUGUAGAUUAAUACUCUGCAAUUUUGACGUUACCGACAGAAUAAGCACCGGCUAACUCUGUGCCAGCAGCCGCGGUAAUACAGAGGGUGCAAGCGUUAAUCGGAAUUACUGGGCGUAAAGCGCGCGUAGGUGGUUUGUUAAGUUGGAUGUGAAAGCCCCGGGCUCAACCUGGGAACUGCAUCCAAAACUGGCAAGCUAGAGUACGGUAGAGGGUGGUGGAAUUUCCUGUGUAGCGGUGAAAUGCGUAGAUAUAGGAAGGAACACCAGUGGCGAAGGCGACCACCUGGACUGAUACUGACACUGA